This 776-nucleotide ribosomal RNA is filed under the name uncultured Neocallimastigales. RNAcentral describes it as "partial large subunit ribosomal RNA". It matches the Rfam family "Eukaryotic large subunit ribosomal RNA", at positions 24 to 637 of the family's 3401-position model. The record is from RNAcentral. Lineage: Eukaryota; Fungi; Neocallimastigomycota; Neocallimastigomycetes; Neocallimastigales.
UAUGUGAUCGUCUCUCGCAUAUCAAUAAGCGGAGGAAAAGAAACUAACAAGGAUUCCCCUAGUAACGGCGAGCUGAAGCGGGAAGAGCUCAAAUUUGAAAUCUUAAAGGGUUUCCCUUUACGAAUUGUAGUUUAAAGAAGUGUUUUCUGUUGAGGUUUUGGUAAAAGUUCUUUGGAAUAGGACAUCAUAGAGGGUGAGAAUCCCGUAUUUGACCUUCACUUUCAACUUUGUGAUACACUUUCAAAGAGUCGGAUUGUUUGGGAAUGCAGUCCAAAAUGGGUGGUAAAUUUCAUCUAAAGCUAAAUAUUGGCGAGAGACCGAUAGCGAACAAGUACCGUGAGGGAAAGAUGAAAAGAACUUUGAAAAGAGAGUUAAACAGUACGUGAAAUUGUCAAAAGGGAAGCGUUUGACACCAGUGUUGUUUUUCUGAAAAGUCAAUUAAAGAACUGUUUAUGCUAAGUUGUUUAGACUUUAUCAGCUAACUGUUUAGUUUUGAGCUUUUCUUUAAUGCACUUUUCAGUUAACAAGUCAACAUCAAUUUCUUUUGCUGUAAAAAAGCUUGAGGAAGGUGGCUUGAGAUUCGUCUUAAGUGUCUAUAGCCUCUUGCCUAUGCAGUCGGAGAGAUUGAGGUCUGCAGCGUAGAUCCUUCGGGGCUAAAUGCAUUUGUGCUAAGUUAUAGCAUUUUAUAGACAACUUGUUGACUAUGAUUUGUCUUGUAGCUUACUCGCUUAUGUUAUUUUACCUACGCUUAGGAUGUUGACAGCAGUAUAGACUGU